Acanthosepion pharaonis is the source of this 96-nucleotide non-coding RNA. The record is from the annotation of a GenBank genome assembly. NCBI's taxonomy places the organism in Eukaryota, Metazoa, Mollusca, Cephalopoda, Sepiida, Sepiidae.
CGACUACCGGUUCCUGUACGAUCACCAAAGUUAAGCAACUUCGAUCCUGGUCAGUACAUAGAUGGGUGACCGAUUGGAAAUACUACGUGGUGUCAG